RNAcentral lists this transfer RNA (67 nucleotides) under Eolachesilla chilensis. Its description in RNAcentral is "tRNA-Ser". Lineage: Eukaryota; Metazoa; Arthropoda; Insecta; Psocodea; Lachesillidae. The record is from RNAcentral.
GAAUUAUCAAGGCCCCCUUUUAAGCUUCUAACUUAAAAUAAAAUGGUUUAAUUCCAUUUAUAAUUCU